CACCCGAAUGCCAGACUGUCCUUUCAUAAACUCCUUCCUUCCUUGGCUACUUCCCCCCUCCACACCCCACUGCGCGCCUUCUGAACGGAAUUUGAACGUUCACUUACGGUUCUGGUGCACUUUUUUCUGCGAGUGCUAUUUUUCUAGAAAAAGAGGUGCCAGAACUCACCAUGAACCCCUCCCUUGUUCUCUAAUAAUGGCAAUGGCACCCACCUGAGAGGGGGUGGAACUGAGUUCUGGAAGAUCAAUCAAAGAGGAAAUCUCAUGACAAUAUCGACCUACAAAAAAUGAAAGAUUCCUACCAGUGAUGUUGCUUAAAAGGUCCAUACCUGGAGACUAGCUUGCGAUGGAGAAUAAUCUAAUAUUGUUUGAUUUUUUAAUGUAAUAAUGUUUUGCCACACUGCAUAAAAGUUUCUGGAUUGUCCAGUCCUUUUAUCAAUCACAUUUGAUUCCUUAUUUUCUCUGCAUUUUCUCUGUGCUUUGUAAUAGUUGCACUUAUUUGCAAAUGUGCAGGCAGAGCAGGGUCUGUGUCAACAGCUGGGGUAGGUGGGCAAUUGCUGUGAUCCCAUGCGCCAUCCAGGUCUACUGACAAGGGCCCCCUGGACCCGCUCUUCCUUUUCACCACUGCAAUGUACUUGUUCAUCCGACUCUCACUCUGGCCAGGUGGUUUGAAGGAAGGGCUGUAGAAGCAGGAGCCACGGACUGUUUGCUCAUUGAUUUUUUGCCUGAAAAGCACACAGCAAAUGGAGAAGAGAAGCAGCUGGCAAUAAUAGCAUGGAGGGUAUAGACUCACUGAGGAAACAGGGGCCCAUGGAGGGUUCUUGCCCCUUCUCCCUUCAGUCCUUGGAACUAGCAUUGAGGUUGAACAUAGGGGAAGGUUCACAGCUAUAAACAUGCCACUGCUUUCAAAUCAGAUCUCUAGGGAAACAACCUAUUUCCAGAGCCCAAACAAAAAUGUCACCCUGUCUCUCUAUGCCGGGGUGGGCAGAAGGUAGACCACAAUCUUGUGGGAUACCUCUGAGUGAUUUGCCAAAGAUCUGCAAGAGUUCCUGACUCCCAAUUAUUUAACAUAUACAUACUUAUUUGAUCACUUUGAUCCUGCAUUGCAGGGCGUUGGGCUAGAGGACCCUCGUGAUCCCUUCCAGCUCUACAAUUCUAUGAUUCUAUGAUCUGCGUAACUUGCACCUUUAAAAGUUCCACCUAGUGACUAUAUUCAGACAGCACUUUAUUCCAUUUUCUUCUCUGUUAAUUUUCACAUUUUUUUGAUGUUUCACAUAAUGUAAAAUACACUUCUGGAAAUCUAACACAAUGUAGUAGAAGUCUAAUGUUCAUUUCCAUGUUAAUUACUUACCUUUUUAAAAGAGGUUUGCAACCCUG
Long non-coding RNA from Podarcis raffonei (Aeolian wall lizard), 1377 nucleotides. RefSeq lists it as uncharacterized. The transcript has 4 exons. Lineage: Eukaryota; Metazoa; Chordata; Lepidosauria; Squamata; Lacertidae. The record is from RefSeq and is a predicted model, not a curated record.